RNAcentral lists this transfer RNA (73 nucleotides) under Chlamydotis macqueenii (Macqueen's bustard). Its description in RNAcentral is "Chlamydotis undulata macqueenii tRNA". It matches the Rfam family "tRNA". From Rfam's summary of the family: Transfer RNA (tRNA) molecules are approximately 80 nucleotides in length. Lineage: Eukaryota; Metazoa; Chordata; Aves; Otidiformes; Otididae. The record is from Rfam by way of RNAcentral.
GGCCUCAUGGUGCAAUGGUAGCACAUCUGACUCCAGAUCUAGAAGGUUGUGUGUUCAAGUCACACUGGGGUCA